Rhinopithecus roxellana (golden snub-nosed monkey) is the source of this 470-nucleotide RNA transcript. It is a transcript of the gene named 60S ribosomal protein L29-like, with no coding region annotated. The transcript has a single exon. The record is from RefSeq and is a predicted model, not a curated record. Lineage: Eukaryota; Metazoa; Chordata; Mammalia; Primates; Cercopithecidae.
UCGGGAGCCACAGCUAAAGGUGCACACAUGGCCAAGUCCAAGAACCACACCACACACAACCAGUCCCGAAAAUGGCACAGAAAUGGUAUCAAGAAACCCCGAUCACAAAGAUACGAAUCUCUUAAGGGGGUGGACCCCAAGUUCCUGAGGAACAUGCGCUUUGCCAAGAAGCACAACAAGAAGGGCCUAAAGAAGAUGCAGGCCAACAAUGGCAAGGCCAUGAGUGCACGUGCCGAGGCUGUCAAGGCCCUCGUAAAGCCCAAGGAGGUUAAGCCCAAGAUCCCAAAGGGUGUCAGCCGCAAGCUUAAUCAACUUGCCUACAUUGCCCACCCCAAGCUUGGGAAGCGUGCUUGUGCUCGCAUUGCCAAGGGGCUCCAGCUGAUCAAACCAAGGCCCAGGCUGCACCUCCAGCUUCAAUUCCAGCUCAGUCUCCCAAAGGUGCCCAGGCCACUACAAAGGCUACAGAGUAG